Molecule: long non-coding RNA, 1209 nt
Organism: Oncorhynchus masou masou (cherry salmon)
Lineage: Eukaryota; Metazoa; Chordata; Actinopteri; Salmoniformes; Salmonidae
Exons: 3
Source: RefSeq, a predicted model, not a curated record
AGGCACUGCAGAGAGAGGAGAGGAGAGUCAGGUGUCAAGACAGCUCAGUGAACUAUUGGUGCAUCUUGGGGCUAAAGCUACUACAGCUAACGUCCUAAGGCAAGAGAGAAAUGUCAGAGGGAAAGUGUCAGAUUGAAGAAAUUGAACUAGUGGGCAGGCAGUUAACCCACUGUUCCCCAGGCGCCAAAGAUGUGGAUGUCGAUCAAGGCAGCCGGCGGCACCUCUCCAAUUCAGAAAUUUGACUGAAAUGGCGAGCGCAGCUGCGUACAUAACUGAAAUGCAAUCCAGGUGGCUACCUCAUGACGCUGGUUGAGAGAAUGUCAAGAGUGUGCAAAGCUGUCAUCAAGGCAAAGGGUGGCUACUUAGAAGAAUGUAAAAUAUAUUUUGAUUUGUUUAACACUUUUUUGGUUACUACACGAUUCCAUGUGUUAUUUCAUAGUUUAUGUAUUCACUAUUAUUUGACAAUGUAGAAAAUAGUAAAAAUAAAAAAACCCUUGAAUGAGGUGUGUCCAAACUUUUGACUGAUACUGUAUGCUUGACAUUUGUAUCUAAAAGCAUAAUUGAGAAAUAUUUAAAAGUUGGCCUUACCUUGGCCCCCUUUAAGACUCCGUAAUGUCGGUGCUACAGAGCAAAGACUGGUGCCUUAUGAAGCUUUACCUCUUGUGCUGAAAUACUAAAAUAAAUAAACAAUAAAUGAAAAGAUUUGGCUUUUUUUAUAUAUAUAUUGUUUAACAUAAUAUAUUCCACGGGCAUAUCAAAGUUCACGAGUUCAAGCUCUCGGCCAUAUUCUUGCUUUGUAGCACCUACAUAUACAACAUUAUGUCGUCUUAAAGAUGAACUGUGCAGAAAUGGCGCUGUCAUUUCUUGGCUGUUAAAAGUCAAAUAGUUAUCCUAAUUUCAGCUUGUGACAAAACAAUCGAGUAUAGUGUGGAGAAUCAUGGUACCAUCUAAACCGCUGUGAAAUGUAUUUUCCAUAACCCAAAACACAGUAUUUUCAGCUGUUUGAAGCCGGUCUACAGAACUGAAAGUAAAAGACAAACACUAAACGGAAAGCAUAGACAUAGCACACACAGAACAGAUCUACCGCUUCUUAGAUGAGAAUGACAGAUCUACAACUCACAUUUCCAAAAUGUCAUAAAUAUGCCUCCUUUGAUUAAUUGUUUUUUUUUAUUAUGCUUUCAGAUACAAAAUGUUAAAUAAAUGUCAACA